This 24-nucleotide microRNA is filed under the name Euprymna scolopes. RNAcentral describes it as "Esc-Mir-190_5p (mature (guide))". The record is from RNAcentral. Lineage: Eukaryota; Metazoa; Mollusca; Cephalopoda; Sepiida; Sepiolidae.
AGAUAUGUUUGAUAUUUUUUGGUG